GGUGGGUAGUUUGACUGGGGCGGUCUCCUCCUAAAGAGUAACGGAGGAGCACGAAGGUUGGCUAAUCCUGGUCGGACAUCAGGAGGUUAGUGCAAUGGCAUAAGCCAGCUUGACUGCGAGCGUGACGGCGCGAGCAGGUGCGAAAGCAGGUCAUAGUGAUCCGGUGGUUCUGAAUGGAAGGGCCAUCGCUCAACGGAUAAAAGGUACUCCGGGGAUAACAGGCUGAUACCGCCCAAGAGUUCAUAUCGACGGCGGUGUUUGGCACCUCGAUGUCGGCUCAUCACAUCCUGGGGCUGAAGUAGGUCCCAAGGGUAUGGCUGUUCGCCAUUUAAAGUGGUACGCGAGCUGGGUUUAGAACGUCGUGAGACAGUUCGGUCCCUAUCUGCCGUGGGCGCUGGAGAACUGAGGGGGGCUGCUCCUAGUACGAGAGGACCGGAGUGGACGCAUCACUGGUGUUCGGGUUGUCAUGCCAAUGGCACU
Molecule: ribosomal RNA, 480 nt
Filed under: Salmonella enterica
Lineage: Bacteria; Pseudomonadati; Pseudomonadota; Gammaproteobacteria; Enterobacterales; Enterobacteriaceae
Also listed under: 1 other name
Description: partial 23S ribosomal RNA
Rfam family: Bacterial large subunit ribosomal RNA
Source: RNAcentral